AGGGCACCACCAGGAGUGGAGCCUGCGGCUUAAUUUGACUCAACACGGGAAAACUCACCCGGCCCGGACACUGGAAGGAUUGACAGAUUGAGAGCUCUUUCUUGAUUCAGUGGAUGGUGGUGCAUGGCCGUUCUUAGUUGGUGGAGUGAUUUGUCUGGUUAAUUCCGAUAACGAACGAGACUCUAGCCUACUAAAUAGAUCGUCGGCUUACAAACGCCGGCGAGACUUCUUAGAGGGACAGGCGGUGAUUCAACCGCACGAAACAGAGCAAUAACAGGUCUGUGAUGCCCUUAGAUGUCCGGGGCCGCACGCGCGCUACACUGAAGUGACCAGCGUGCUUUUUCAACCUACUCUGUCAAGAGUGGGGAACCCAAUGAACCUUCUUCGUGAUUGGGAUAGGGGAUUGUAAUUAUUCCCCUUGAACGAGGAAUUCCCAGUAAGCGCGAGUCAUAAGCUCGCGUUGAUUACGUCCCUGCCCUUUGUACACACCGCCCGUCGCUACUACCGAUUGAAUGUUUU
Molecule: ribosomal RNA, 519 nt
Filed under: uncultured eukaryote
Lineage: Eukaryota
Description: SSU rRNA
Rfam family: Eukaryotic small subunit ribosomal RNA
Source: RNAcentral